This 1383-nucleotide ribosomal RNA is filed under the name uncultured bacterium. RNAcentral describes it as "bacterial SSU rRNA". It matches the Rfam family "Bacterial small subunit ribosomal RNA", at positions 18 to 1395 of the family's 1533-position model. The record is from RNAcentral.
CCUGGCUCCGGUUGAACGCUAGCUACAGGCUUAACACAUGCAAGUCGAGGGGCAUCAGGAAGAAAGCUUGCUUUCUUUGCUGGCGACCGGCGCACGGGUGAGUAACACGUACCCAACUUGCCCUUUACUCGGGGAUAGCCUUUCGAAAGAAAGAUUAAUACCCGAUAGCAUAAUGAUUCCGCAUGGUUUCAUUAUUAAAGGAUUCCGGUAAAGGAUGGGGAUGCGUUCCAUUAGGUUGUUGGUGAGGUAACGGCCCACCAAGCCUUCGAUGGAUAGGGGUUCUGAGAGGAAGGUCCCCCACAUUGGAACUGAGACACGGUCCAAACUCCUACGGGAGGCAGCAGUGAGGAAUAUUGGUCAAUGGGCGCUAGCCUGAACCAGCCAAGUAGCGUGAAGGAUGAAGGCUCUAUGGGUCGUAAACUUCUUUUAUAUAAGAAUAAAGUGCAGUAUGUAUACUGUUUUGUAUGUAUUAUAUGAAUAAGGAUCGGCUAACUCCGUGCCAGCAGCCGCGGUAAUACGGAGGAUCCGAGCGUUAUCCGGAUUUAUUGGGUUUAAAGGGAGCGUAGGUGGACUGGUAAGUCAGUUGUGAAAGUUUGCGGUUCAACCGUAAAAUUGCAGUUGAUACUGUCAGUCUUGAGUACAGUAGAGGUGGGCGGAAUUCGUGGUGUAGCGGUGAAAUGCUUAGAUAUCACGAAGAACUCCGAUUGCGAAGGCAGCUCACUGGACUGCAACUGACACUGAUGCUCGAAAGUGUGGGUAUCAAACAGGAUUAGAUACCCUGGUAGUCCACACAGUAAACGAUGAAUACUCGCUGUUUGCGAUAUACAGUAAGCGGCCAAGCGAAAGCAUUAAGUAUUCCACCUGGGGAGUACGCCGGCAACGGUGAAACUCAAAGGAAUUGACGGGGGCCCGCACAAGCGGAGGAACAUGUGGUUUAAUUCGAUGAUACGCGAGGAACCUUACCCGGGCUUAAAUUGCAGUGGAAUGAUGUGGAAACAUGUCAGUGAGCAAUCACCGCUGUGAAGGUGCUGCAUGGUUGUCGUCAGCUCGUGCCGUGAGGUGUCGGCUUAAGUGCCAUAACGAGCGCAACCCUUAUCUUCAGUUACUAACAGGUCAUGCUGAGGACUCUGGAGAGACUGCCGUCGUAAGAUGUGAGGAAGGUGGGGAUGACGUCAAAUCAGCACGGCCCUUACGUCCGGGGCUACACACGUGUUACAAUGGGGGGUACAGAAGGCAGCUAGCGGGUGACCGUAUGCUAAUCCCAAAAGCCUCUCUCAGUUCGGAUCGAAGUCUGCAACCCGACUUCGUGAAGCUGGAUUCGCUAGUAAUCGCGCAUCAGCCACGGCGCGGUGAAUACGUUCCCGGGCCUUGUACACACCGCCC